GGGGAUGUAGCUCAAAUGGUAGAGCGCUCGCUUCGCAUGCGAGAGGCAGCCGGAUCGAUGCCGGCCAUUUCCA
Molecule: non-coding RNA, 73 nt
Organism: Fennellomyces sp. T-0311
Lineage: Eukaryota; Fungi; Mucoromycota; Mucoromycetes; Mucorales; Lichtheimiaceae
Source: the annotation of a GenBank genome assembly